UGUAUGUUGGGUUAGUCCGCACGAGCGCACCCUAUCCUUAUUUGCCAGCGAGUCAUGUCGGGAACUUUAAGGAGACUGCCGGUGAUAAACCGGAGGAAGGUGGGGACGACGUCAAGUCAUCAUGGCCCUUACGGGAUGGGCUACACACGUGCUACAAUGGCAUAUACAGAGUGCAGCGAGACCGCGAGGUGGAGCGAAUCACACAAAGUAUGUCGUAGUCCGGAUCGGAGUCUGCAACUCGACUCCGUGAAGUCGGAAUCGCUAGUAAUCGUAGAUCAGAAUGCUACGGUGAAUACGUUCCCGGGCCUUGUACACACCGCCCGUCACACCAUGGGAGUGGGAUGCAAAAGAAGUGGCUAGUUUAACCUUCGGGAGGACGGUCACCACUUUGUGUUUCAUGACUGGGGUGAAGUCGUAACAAGGUAACCCUAGGGGAACCUGGGGUUGGAUCACCUCCUU
RNAcentral lists this ribosomal RNA (459 nucleotides) under uncultured Colwelliaceae bacterium. Its description in RNAcentral is "bacterial SSU rRNA". It matches the Rfam family "Bacterial small subunit ribosomal RNA", at positions 1068 to 1532 of the family's 1533-position model. The record is from RNAcentral. Lineage: Bacteria; Pseudomonadati; Pseudomonadota; Gammaproteobacteria; Alteromonadales; Colwelliaceae.